CAUUGUCACUUUUGAUAACUCUCGGAAAACCGAAUUGGAGAAACCAGUUCAACAGACUUUUACAAACUUGACAGAUCAUGUGUACACUUCUCAAACGGAUAGCCACUAAAUCUGUCCACGAGUAAUAUAUACUGCCGUCCUUCUAACUCAAACAGAUCGGCGGCAACCUUCUCCAUAGGAUAUUCGGCCUCGUCCACCAAAAUAGUUUCGGCCGGCUGAGAGGAAAGACAACCAAUACAAGCUUCACAUCCGGCAAUCUUGGCCUUAAUGUCAUUUUGCAUUCCCGGCCAAAUAUAAAGCUGGCGAGCAAGUGUACAUGUUUUGGUCACUCCAGAAUGCGAGGCAUGAAGUCACUCCAAAAUCCUUUUUCUUGCAGGUUGAGGAACUACCAGCCGCGAUCCGUGCAAGAGAACUCCAUCCUCCACACGGAGACCAUCAGCCAAAACAACGUAUGGACUAAGGUCGGCCGAAAAUUCCGCACCUGAUGAAACACAAUCACGAAGCGCCUUGUAUUCAUCAUUGACAUUUUUGAUGAUCAGAUGGAGUGCUGGAUCAGAUGUGUCAAUCGCUGAACACACUGCAACGUUUAAAUCGUGAUCAGCGGGGAAAUAAGGUGCUCGACUGAGUGCGUCCGCGAUGUGAUUCAUGUCCAUCUGAUGAGUUUGCCAACUAUGGCACAAUGUACUUGAAAUAUGGAAUGUCAACGAGCUUCCCGCCAAAUCGGCCUGCUCUUGGUCGUAGCAACUCCGAGCCACUUUCCGAAUCAAACUAGUAACAUAAGAAACGUAGAGAUCUCUUCAAUUACAGGCAGGUCACUUUAUAUCAUUCACUUUUAAGUGGUUCGUUUCAGGCGGAAAAUUCAAACUUUUUUUCAGUGCAUGUUUCUUGAGUUCCCAAGGCAUGGUUUUGGGCUCAAAUUUGGCCAAGAUCAUCUCUUCAGCAAGAUUUUGUGGUCGUAUGUCAAGCUUAUUUGGAAAAAAGUGAACGAUUUAGGAGAUAAUAAAUGUUUGCUUUUGUUUGCAGUUGA
This is a long non-coding RNA of Tigriopus californicus, 1027 nucleotides long. RefSeq lists it as uncharacterized. The transcript has 2 exons. Lineage: Eukaryota; Metazoa; Arthropoda; Copepoda; Harpacticoida; Harpacticidae. The record is from RefSeq and is a predicted model, not a curated record.